AUGAGGAAAAAACCAACGCCUGACAUGUUUUUUCCACACGGUUUGGGAGAGGCGGGGCCACCCCCACUGCUUCAUAAGCUGCAAAAUGGCGGGCGAGCAGCGAUGCAUCCUGGGAGCUGUAGUCCCGCCAAGCCACCAAGCUCUCAAAAUGGCCCCCAACGGGGAAAGCGUGGACAACUACAACUCCCAGGAUGCAAAGGGAGGCGACGCGGAAGAGGAUCUGGGGUGCACUUCCGCUUCUUGUUCCUGUCCCCGCCGCUUUGCCUUCUGGGAAUUGUAGUUUCAGUACCGCGUGCUGUAGCGCCGUGGCGUUCGGUGGGAACUCGGUGUCCCAGCGCGCCCCGGGCAGGUGCUGUCGCGGCGGCCGUGAGAAGAGCGGCAGGCGGGAAAGGCGGGCAGCGCUGUGAGCGGGCGCUGGGCCUGCGCAGCUUCGGGCUGCAGGAGGACGAGGCCAGGAUGGGAGAGGCCGAUGGAGAACGUGCCAGCCAGAGAGACACGGGCCUGUCUGCACUGUGCCGUGCCCACAUUGCUGUAACGAACGUGGUGGAAAUGCUGAGAUCUUUGGUGGCUUUAACUGACCCUCGGGAGGGGAAGCUGACUCAGUCUCAAGAGAAAGCAUUAAAGUUGCCAGACAUUUGGAAAACCAUACAUACAGCCGUUCCUGGGCCUACAUCAAGGACCUCGAUGGGCACAACUUUGGAAAACAUUCUAGUAAAGACACACUGAAAAUCACUUCAACCAAGUCUCUUCAUGUUGAGUGUAGAUCAGUUACGCCACAACUUCUCUCGGUACUAUGAUGUGUUGAUUUUUUUGCCUGCAUAUUUGUUUAGCCUUUCCAGAUGGCUUGGUGGGAAUCUGGGUGUUUGUAGAACUGGGUGCUUUUUACUUUGGAAAUCAAUAAACUUUCAGUUGUACUUUGAUUUCUGCA
RNAcentral lists this long non-coding RNA (928 nucleotides) under Phasianus colchicus (ring-necked pheasant). Its description in RNAcentral is "lncRNA (ENSPCLG00000021549.1)". Lineage: Eukaryota; Metazoa; Chordata; Aves; Galliformes; Phasianidae. The record is from RNAcentral.